UUUCUCGAGAGGAGAAAAAAUCGUGGAGGCGCUAGUCCCCAUUUUCACGUUUGAUGCCCAAGAGGACCGAAACCUACUCCACCUAUCGGUUGCCGCUUGCCAGCCCAGCUCCCUUCGCCGACGCCGCUCGCCAGCUCUGCUCCAUCCCUCCGGCGUCCCUGACGCUAGCUCCAGUCGCCGGGCUAGGCCGCCUCCCCGAUUUUUCACAUACAGCUCCUCACGAGCGGCUCGUCCUUUGGACUGGACGCGCCGCCGACCGGGCUCCUUCCUUGAGCCGGUGGCCAAAGGCUACCUGUCCUCAUCAGGCCACUUCUACAACUGGUCUCCCCCUUCAUGUGACGAUGCCUUAACAUGUGCGGCUGAAUCUCUCUCACAGUUUUGACCCGAUUGCUGGAUCUCGCAUUCGUCAGUGGUCAUUUCUUCUCGCACGGUGGCCAGCUUCGCCUCCUACACCGCCGAUUCUCCCUUCCUCUCCUGUCGGUGAGGCCCCCUUUCAUGAUGCCCUAAGCUAUCUACUUCCUUCUCUUGGGCAGAGCUCUCGCUAGUCACCCCAUUUCCUUACAGCCGGUAACCUGAGCUACCAGCAACCUCUGCUUCCUUCUCCAUUUAGCCGAAAGUCUCACUGGAGUUCCAAUCACUUAUGAGGCAGCGACUGCAUUGCGGCACAAAUAGCCACGAAUGACCCCCUCUCAAAGGCAUUGCGGGGUAGUUCAACUCAUGGUCAUCCUAGGAAGGGAGCAAGCUCGAAGCAAGAAAAAAGAGUGAGACCGGGAGACAUAUCCAACAACGAGGAGCUUAAUGAUUUAAAGCUAACACUUCUUCUUACAAGUGCUGCUUAGUUCUCCUCCCACUAUAUAUGCUUCAUUAUAUAUUGCAUAAAUUAGGUACGAUCACAGAUUCCGAGAUGCCUGAUGGGAGAAACCACGUGAUGAGGACCAAAAGUGGUUGCUUGUGUCCCGCAUCUUAGUUCUGAUUUUCAUAUUUGAUGUAUAAAAUUAAGAACAUGUAUGUAUAUAUAUAGCCUG
Molecule: long non-coding RNA, 1025 nt
Organism: Phalaenopsis equestris
Lineage: Eukaryota; Viridiplantae; Streptophyta; Magnoliopsida; Asparagales; Orchidaceae
Exons: 4
Source: RefSeq, a predicted model, not a curated record